Molecule: ribosomal RNA, 438 nt
Filed under: uncultured bacterium
Lineage: Bacteria
Description: bacterial SSU rRNA
Rfam family: Bacterial small subunit ribosomal RNA
Source: RNAcentral
CAGUGAGGAAUAUUGCACAAUGGGCGAAAGCCUGAUGCAGCGACGCCGCGUGGAGGAUGAAGGUUUUCGGAUUGUAAACUCCUGUUAAGUGUGAAAAAAGACUCGUUUUUAAUAGAAGCGAGGGAUGAUGGUAGCACUAAAGAAAGCACCGGCUAACUUCGUGCCAGCAGCCGCGGUAAUACGAGGGGUGCAAACGUUAUUCGGAAUCACUGGGCGUAAAGGGUGCGUAGGCGGCAAGAUAAGUCAAUUAUUAAAUCUCCUAGCUUAACUAGGAAUCUGUGAUUGAAACUGACUUGCUUGAGGAUGGAAGAGAGAAGUGGAAUUCUCGGAGUAGCGGUAAAAUGCGUAGAUCUCGAGAGGAACACCGAUGGCGAAGGCAGCUUCUUGGUCCAUAUCUGACGCUGAAGUACGAAAGCGUGGGGAGCAAACAGGAUUAGA